UCAAACCAAUUGGUUAACGGGGGUACCCGGUACUUGAUUUUUACAGUAUCACAAUAUUGUGGUGAAAAAUACCAUGUUUUGACAACAAAUCAGCAUGGUGGGACUUAUCAUGCGCAUGGUUAUAAUGAGAACAAAUAGUAAUAUUUGUAGUCAUUUUCCAUUCUGAAUGAAACUGAACACGUUUUUUUUACUUCCACAAAUCAAACACGUCUAUUCACAGUUAAACAAACCAACAAACUGAAUUUACAUUUGUAAAAUCUAUGGGUACUACGAUCACGAUUUCUUUUGCGCUUCUACUUCCUCUCCUCUCUUUUCCUAAUUACUCCUAGUUACCAUCUUAACCCUUACGUUCCCUACAAUAUUAUUUUGUUUUAGGUGAUGAUCGCAAAAUGAAAAGCUUGAUGCAAGGGGCAAUACAGUGUUCAAAGCAGAGUGAAUCUGGAGCAGUUCAGAGUAACUCUGAGCAACUCUGAGGAAUUUGCGGUUCGAAAUUCCCACCUUUGAAUCAUCUUGAUUUUGGCAAAGCGGUUCGAAAAAAAAGAAUAACAGACCAAACUCAGUUUGACAUAUCGAAACAGCGAUAAAUAAUGAAGAUGAAAGGUUUUGAAGUAAUUAUUGAUUGUAAAGAAAAAUUUCUAAGCCACAUACAGCAAUGGAUUCAGUGUGAAAAACAUGUUAUUUGCAACUAUCAAACGGUUAUCCUGCCGCAUCUACGCCUACGCGGUGACAAGCCUGAAGAUUAAAUCCAGCAAGGACAAUAUUCGCCCGAAAAAGACACAAGACCGAUCCUCAUGAAGGACAAAACUGCAAAUAAGAUGAAUUUCCAGUGCCGGGAAGAAAAAUGUAUGUUCGAAGGCGAAUGGGGCCGUUCACAAUCCGGGCUAGAAGCAGGAACUACUUCCUGUCGGAGACUUAAUUCAGUUUCGAUGUCGAGUCUGUAUUUGAAUAUUCCGUAUUUAUACCGAGAAUAAAACGUAAAUUGAAACAGUU
Molecule: long non-coding RNA, 990 nt
Filed under: Aedes aegypti (yellow fever mosquito)
Lineage: Eukaryota; Metazoa; Arthropoda; Insecta; Diptera; Culicidae
Description: lncRNA AAEL026117
Source: RNAcentral